AUUUAAGUGCCUUUGAAUAGGGUAUGGUAGUAGGUGCCAGGCGCACUGGUUUGAGUGUGUCAAGAACUGCAACGCUGCUGGGUUUUUCACACUCAACAGUCCUACCACCCAAAGAACAUUCAGCCAAUGGGUCAUUGAUGAAAGAGGACAGGGAAAGCUGUGCAGAGCAACAGAUGGGCUACAGUUAGUCAACUGACAGGUCCAGUACAGCUGCCCAAAGACCCAUAUAAUAAUGCACAACUUGUCGUACCUUGACACAACCUUACAGAGUUCCAAUUCAAAAAAAAAAAAAUGUGUUUGCAGUGAGCUAAGGAACGAAAACGACACUGGAGAAUUGGAAAAACAUUUCCUGGUCUGAUAAAUGCCGGUUCCUGCUGGGAGGACUAGGGUAUGGAGAAUACCAUGAGUACAUGUAUCCAUCAUGUUGUGAUGGGAGGACUAGGGUAUGGAGAAUACCAUGAGUACAUGUAUCCAUCAUGUUGUGAUGGGAGGACUAGGGUAUGGAGAAUACCAUGAGUACAUGCAUCCAUGUCACGUGCCAACAUUGCAGCUUGUUGGUAUGAUGGUGUGGGUGUGUUUUCAGGACACACAUUGGACCCCUUGGUAAAAGUGGAGCAAUGUUUGAAUGUCACAGGAUAUCUGAACAUCAUUGCCAAUCAGGUGCAUCCCUUCAUGGCAGCAGUGUAUCCAUCUGCAAAUAUAUUUUUUUCAGCCCCAUGCCACAAGGCUAGGAUUGGUUCCACAAACAUGACAGUGAAUUCAGCUUAUUGCAGUGGUCUGCCCAGUCGCCAGAUGUCAAACAAACUGAGCAUCUGUGGGAUGAGAUGGAACGAGCUAUUAAGAGUAGAGAUCCAAACCCACCAACUUGAUACAACUAUGGGAAGCAUUGGAGAUAACAUGGGCCAGCAUCCCUGUGGAACGAUUCCGCCAACUUUUAGAGUCCAUGGAAUUGUGGCUGUUCUGAGGACAAAAGGGGGUGCAACUCAAUAAUAGGAAGGUGUUCCUAAUGUUUUGUCCACUCAGUGUAAAUCGACCUGUAUAGACUAGGUAAAGGGAAGGGAAAGGGGGUGCAACUCAAUAUUAGGAAGGUGUUCCUAAUGUUUUGUGCACUCAGUGUAAAUCGACCUGUAUAGACUAGGUAAAGGGAAGGGAAAGGGGGUACAACUCAAUAUUAGGAAGGUGUUCCUAAUGUUUUGUCCACUCAGUGUAAAUCGACCUGUAUAGACUAGGUAAAGGGAAGGGAAAGGGGGUGCAACUCAAUAAUAGGAAGGUGUUCCUAAUGUUUUGUGCACUCAGUGUCUGUUUCAGUUCAUUUAUUGAUUUUUAAAAACAAGUAUUUUUUAUUUAACUAGGCAAGUCAGUUAAGAACAAAUUCUGAUUUACAAUGUUGGCCUACCCCGGCCAAACCGGGUGCGCUGAGAGUCGGGAAGCAAGUUUAGGGAGUGAGUGUUUUACUAAAUAAAAGAAACAAUGAACACGAAACACAAACAACGCACCGACAUGAAAACAGUGUCAGUAACACUGAGGUAAGAACCAAGGGGAAUUACAGAUAUAGGGAAGAUAAUCAAGGAGGUGAUGUAGUCCAGGUUAGUGUCAUGAGGCGUAGGUCAUGAGGCGCAGGUCAUGAGGCGCAGGUCAUGAGGCGCAGGUCAUGAGGCGCAGACGAUGUUGACAGGUGUGCGGGAUAAUCAGCAGCCUGAUGACCUAGAGGCCGGAGAGGGAGUGUACGUGACACCCGGAUGAAUGCUGAGUCAAUUAUGCACCGCCCUAUGGGACUCCCAAUCACAGCCGGAUGUGAUACAGCCUGGAUUCAAACCAGGCACUGCAGUGACACCUCUUGUACUGAGAUGCCGGGCCUUAGACCGCUGCACCACUCAGGAGGUCUGAUCAGGAGGUCUGAUACUUGUUUUGUUGUUGAUGAAUAAUUGUUUGUAAUGCAGAAAUGAUUUUACUAGUAGCAGGGCAUAAGAAGGGUUAGAACCAUACUAAGUUUACAAUUGGAACCAUUUCCCUGUUUGACCUCUAGGUUUAUGGGUAUUAUAACACCUCCAUUCUAUAGGAAUGAAUGGAAUUUUACAGCACUUAAUUUAAAUGUUUCAAUGACAAAAUGACAAAAUGUUUUUAAGUAGUUUUUUGUAGUAGGGACAGUAACAUUAGUAUUUAAAACAUAUCCUUUAUGGGAAAUGUUUGUACAUUUUCUUUACAUGUUUAGCUAAUAUCAUUUCAAAGUAAGAAGGUGUCUGUAAUAUAAUGAGCGAGGCAAAAACAAUUGUAGACAUUAGUAAAUGCAUUUCUUUAUCUCCCAAUGAUGGGGGAACGCAAAGAUGGAGGUACGGCGGCUAUAAAAAAAGCGCCCUCUGCUCAUCAUCUAGUGUAUAUAUAAAUUAUUGUUUGCUACCCGUGGAAACAGCUUGGAAGACGAUGACCACAAAUGUAAAAUCCUCAAAAGUUUCAGCGAUAAAGCAGCACUGCUCUGUCAACAGAACUCGGUGCUUAUUAUCGGAUGUAUUAGGGUAUGAAAUCUGUCUUUUUGUAUAUAAUGUUAAUAUGUUUGAGAAAGACCCCACUGAACGAUUCAGAACAUGAAUAAUUCUAUUUGUAUUGAUAAAAUGUAUUGUAUAACAUAAGGAAGUGAAAUGUCAUCACCAAAUCGAAUUUUCACCCUGCAGAGUGGGUGGACACCCUGAGUACUGUAGGACCAGUAUAUUGUAUUUCCAUUUGGUUUCACUCAUCUACUUCAAAGUGUUUGUGUCGCCUACUGAAAUAACAAACGAAUUAUGUUGAUUUGAAACUUAGCCUUACUUCCUUGGUCAAUAAAGGAGGGGUUGAUGCACAA
This is a long non-coding RNA of Oncorhynchus kisutch (coho salmon), 2836 nucleotides long. RefSeq lists it as uncharacterized. The record is from RefSeq and is a predicted model, not a curated record. Lineage: Eukaryota; Metazoa; Chordata; Actinopteri; Salmoniformes; Salmonidae. The transcript has 2 exons.